This 465-nucleotide ribosomal RNA is filed under the name Vreelandella stevensii. RNAcentral's name for it is "partial 16S ribosomal RNA". It matches the Rfam family "Bacterial small subunit ribosomal RNA", at positions 338 to 795 of the family's 1533-position model. The record is from RNAcentral. Lineage: Bacteria; Pseudomonadati; Pseudomonadota; Gammaproteobacteria; Oceanospirillales; Halomonadaceae.
CCUACGGGUGGCAGCAGUGGGGAAUAUUGGACAAUGGGGGGAACCCUGAUCCAGCCAUGCCGCGUGUGUGAAGAAGGCCCUCGGGUUGUAAAGCACUUUCAGUGAGGAAGAACGCCUGGUGGUUAAUACCCAUCAGGAAAGACAUCACUCACAGAAGAAGCACCGGCUAACUCCGUGCCAGCAGCCGCGGUAAUACGGAGGGUGCGAGCGUUAAUCGGAAUUACUGGGCGUAAAGCGCGCGUAGGUGGCUUGAUAAGCCGGUUGUGAAAGCCCCGGGCUCAACCUGGGAACGGCAUCCGGAACUGUCAAGCUAGAGUGCAGGAGAGGAAGGUAGAAUUCCCGGUGUAGCGGUGAAAUGCAUAGAGAUCGGGAGGAAUACCAGUGGCGAAGGCGGCCUUCUGGACUGACACUGACACUGAGGUGCGAAAGCGUGGGUAGCAAACAGGAUUAGAUACCCUUGUAGUC